This 386-nucleotide unclassified non-coding RNA is filed under the name uncultured Verrucomicrobiae bacterium. Its description in RNAcentral is "contains 16S-23S intergenic spacer region". The record is from RNAcentral. Lineage: Bacteria; Pseudomonadati; Verrucomicrobiota; Verrucomicrobiia.
UCCCCGUUCUCCUGGGCAGUCUGUCCAGAGUGCUUCGAACUCUCGUUCGAGUGGCAACAGGACACAAGGGUUGCGCUCGUUGCGGGACUUAACCCAACAUCUCACGACACGAGCUGACGACAGCCAUGCAGCACCUGUGUAGGCUGGUAUUGCUACCUCGUUACCCUUUCGGGCUUCUACUACCUACAUGUCAAGGCCAGGUAAGGUUCUUCGCGUUGCAUCGAAUUAAGCCACAUACUCCACCGCUUGUGCAGGCCCCCGUCAAUUUCUUUGAGUUUUAAUCUUGCGACCGUACUUCCCAGGCGGCACAUUUAACGCGUUGGCUACGCCACGAAAGGGGUCGAAUCCUCUCACAGCAAAUGUGCACCGUUUACGGCUAGGACUAC